GACGAACGCUGGCGGCGUGCUUAACACAUGCAAGUCGAACGGAAAGGCCUGCUUUCCCUUGUGGAUUGCGGGUACUCGAGUGGCGAACGGGUGAGUAACACGUGAGUGAUCUGCCCCCAACUUGGGUAUAAGCCUGGGAAACUGGGUCUAAUUCCCGAUAGGACUGCAGGGUGGUGCCUGUGGUGGAAAACGAUUUUCUAGUGGUUGGGGAUGAGCUCGCGGCCUAUCAGCUUGUUGGUGGGGUAAUGGCCUACCAAGGCGGCGACGGGUAGCCGGCCUGAGAGGGUGGACGGCCACAUUGGGACUGAGAUACGGCCCAGACUCCGACGGGAGGCAGCAGUGGGGAAGAUUGCACAAUGGGCGGAAGCCUGAUGCAGCGACGCCGCGUGGGGGAUGACGGCCUUCGGGUUGUAAACUCCUUUCGACCGCGAGGAAGCCACCUGGUUGGAAGGGUGGUGACGGUAGUGGUAGAAGAAGCACCGGCUAACUACGUG
This 494-nucleotide ribosomal RNA is filed under the name uncultured bacterium. RNAcentral's name for it is "partial 16S ribosomal RNA". It matches the Rfam family "Bacterial small subunit ribosomal RNA", at positions 28 to 507 of the family's 1533-position model. The record is from RNAcentral.